RNAcentral lists this ribosomal RNA (301 nucleotides) under uncultured bacterium. RNAcentral's name for it is "partial 16S ribosomal RNA". It matches the Rfam family "Bacterial small subunit ribosomal RNA", at positions 509 to 809 of the family's 1533-position model. The record is from RNAcentral.
CAGUAGCCACGGUAAUACGGAAGGUCCGGGCGUUAUCCGGAUUUAUUGGGUUUAAAGGGAGCGUAGGCCGCCCCUUAAGCGUGUUGUGAAAUGCGGGUGCUCAACAUCCGACUUGCAGCGCGAACUGGGGGGCUUGAGUGCGCCGAAAGUAGGCGGAAUUCGUGGUGUAGCGGUGAAAUGCUUAGAUAUCACGAAGAACUCCGAUUGCGAAGGCAGCUUACUGUAGCGCAACUGACGCUGAUGCUCGAAAGCGUGGGUAUCGAACAGGAUUAGAUACCCCGGUAGUCCUGUCUCUUAUACA